CCAUGAGGAACACCGCAGUGACACACACUGAUGUUUACUGGUACAGACUGUCCACAGAACAAAUUAUGGAGCAGGUUUUAACACAUCCUCCACGCAAUGGAGCCCAGGUUUCACUGAGCGAUUCCAGCAUUUCAGAGACCCUUCCUGUAACAGCUUCAUUCUGACCAUCACAAACGUGCAGCCCAGUGACACUGGGGUAUAUUACUGCUCAGUCUGGAGAAUGAUCUAUGGGAGAGGAAGCCAACUUAUUGUCAACAGCAUCAGUAGUCCAGUCGUUCUCCAGUCUCCAAGCCUGGAACAUGUCACCCAGGAUCACACUGCCCGGUUCCACUGCACCAUGAGGAACACCACAGUGACACAUACCGAUGUUCACUGGUACCGACUCUCCACAGAAGAAAUUAUGGAGUGGGUUUUAAUACAUUCAGAAAGUGGCUCCACAGAAUGGAACCCAGGAUUCACUGAGCAUUUCCAGCCUUCCAUAGAUACCUCCAGUAACAGUUUCAUUCUGACCAUCACAAACGUGCAGCCCAAUGACACUGGGGUCUAUUACUGCUCAAUCUGGGGAAGGAUCUAUGGGAGAGGAAGCCAGCUCAAUAUCACCAGUACGUAGAGUUGACAUGACAAUCUCCUCCAGCAAUAACCUCUGAUCAAAUGAAUGAAUUGGAGAUCAGUAUGUUAUCAAGAAG
Chiloscyllium plagiosum (whitespotted bambooshark) is the source of this 686-nucleotide non-coding RNA. NCBI's taxonomy places the organism in Eukaryota, Metazoa, Chordata, Chondrichthyes, Orectolobiformes, Hemiscylliidae. The record is from the annotation of a RefSeq genome assembly.